GAUUCUGGCUCAGGACGAACGCUGGCGGCGUGCUUAACACAUGCAAGUUGAACGGUAUGACAUGGAAGCUUGCUGAAGUGUCAUAUAGUAGCGGACGGGUGAGUAAUGCAUGAGAAGCUGCCAUUGGGAGGGGGACAACAGUUGGAAACGGCUGCUAAUACCCCGUAUGCCGGAGGGUGAAAGGGAGUAAUCCGCCCGAUGAGGUGCUCAUGUCCUAUCAGCUGGUUGGUGGGGUAACGGCCUACCAAGGCGACGACGGGUAGCCGGCCUGAGAGGGUGAACGGCCACACUGGAACUGAGAUACGGUCCAGACUCCUACGGGAGGCAGCAGGUGGGGAAUAUUGGGACCAAGUGGGGGCAACCCUGACCCAGCGACGCCGCGUGGGGGAAGACGGCCUUCGGGUUGUAAACCUCUUUUGUACGGGAAGAAGGAAGUGACGGUACUGUACGAAUAAGUCCCGGCUAACUACGUGCCAGCAGCCGC
Molecule: ribosomal RNA, 484 nt
Filed under: uncultured bacterium
Lineage: Bacteria
Description: bacterial SSU rRNA
Rfam family: Bacterial small subunit ribosomal RNA
Source: RNAcentral